Molecule: signal recognition particle RNA, 91 nt
Filed under: Paracoccaceae bacterium
Lineage: Bacteria; Pseudomonadati; Pseudomonadota; Alphaproteobacteria; Rhodobacterales; Paracoccaceae
Description: Rhodobacteraceae bacterium signal recognition particle sRNA small type
Rfam family: Bacterial small signal recognition particle RNA
About the family: The signal recognition particle (SRP) is a universally conserved ribonucleoprotein involved in the co-translational targeting of proteins to membranes. Archaeal SRP consists of a 7S RNA and homologues of the eukaryotic SRP19 and SRP54 proteins. In most bacteria, the SRP consists of a 4.5S RNA and the Ffh protein (a homologue of the eukaryotic SRP54 protein).
Source: RNAcentral
GAGCCAGCGCGGACGCGCGGAUCGCUAACCCGGUCAGGUCCGAGAGGAAGCAGCCGUAACGAAACCCGCCUGGGCCGAUUGCUGGUUCCCG